UCUCAAGUUAUAAGCCUUUGAAUCUCAGCAGGCGCUCUUGGAAAAAAAGGACCCAAGCAAAACGCACAGACUACCUUUAGAAAAACAAUUGUGAAAAAUCAAUUUUUUAGUCUUUUGACUUUAAAUUUUGAGUGUAGCAAGCUGAGACCUGUGGCUAUGGCCUAAUGUGUCUGCUGUGUCCAUAGACACACCUGAGCCCUUAUAUCUUAGUCAGUUUAUUGACAUUUGAAUUGGACGGAAACCAAAACCUGUUCCAACCUCUGUAACUCUGUGUCAGUAUGUCAUAGAAUCACACUUACACUUCGGAAAACACUUGAGCGUGUUACCUUUCCAAUGGUACCAAGCACAUCCCCGAGUCUCAAACUGUGUGGAGCUGUCAUGGUUUUAAUUUCAGUAUGUCGUAUGUCGAGGUUAAUGCUUGGUCCUGAUCAGAACCUGAGUGUGAGUGUUUGGUCCUGCAGUUGUUGAGUCGUGUCGCUCCUCCUCAGGUGAAACAUGGCCAUCACCUGGCUCGUCGUCGUCAUGGCGGUCGCCGUCUUCGUCUCCAUGGUGCUGCUGGCGGUGGUGUGUGUGCGCUGCAGGACCGACGGGCCUCUGGUGUCCAUCAGACAGGCGACAGAGGAAUCCACUGAGUUCAGAGUCAUCCACCCAGCCCAGCCAACAAUCGGUCGUAACUCCGUCCAUCCUUCCUCCAACCUGCUGUCGCCUUACUCUCCUUCAGUCGAUCUCGGGACUCAGAGGAAACACAGAUCCUUCACCACAGAAACUGAGAGUAAUCCCAGCUAUGAGAAUCCAGCUGACGGUCCCGACUACAUAAACGAGAGCGACGGAGAUGAAUCCGGAUACAUAGUCGUGCUGCCUGAAGGUGACGCUCCCCCCGAUCAGAGCCGACCCUCCACGCCCAGCUCAGAUAAUCUACAUGAUUAUGAAAACAUCCCAACAAAGGAAGACGCAGCUUCCACCAACAAGUCGUCGGUCAGCCCGAGUCCGACCCGGCUGUCUGAGGACGGAGACGACGACGACCGAGAGUAUCUGAAUGUGGAACCGCUGCACUCUCAAAAUCCGUCGACUGACAGCGACACCGAGGACGAUGACGAGGGGAACUACGUCAACGUGAACAGCAGCGUCUGAAGGACGUCAGCCGCCUGCUUCCUCCUCCACCUUCCACUGCCGGCGGUGUUUAAUUCAAAGUGUUGAACUGAGAAAAGAAAGUGAUUUGUGUCCGAGGUGCUGAAGGUUCUGCUCAGGUCGGGUCUCAUGUCAUGAUCUUUAUUUUAAACCCAGCUGAGGAGACACUCAUCAUCUCUCACCAGUAAUUAUCUUCAGCUAUCUGUUUUAAUAAUGACGUCAACGACCUCCAACAGUCAGACGUCACUGAGCGUCGGUCCGGUCCGGUCCGGUCCGGUCCAGAACCGGUUUAUCUUUCUUUCUUUCUUCUCUACUUUGAUUUUCUCUCUUUCCUCCGACAGAACGACUCGUCUGUUCACUUCCAGCUUUACUUUCAUUUACUGACAACUCCUGAGAAUGUCUGAGCUCACAAAACGUUUGUUUUUCACAGUGUAUUUAUGUGUUGUUGUUGCCAUGGUUACUGUGUCUCUGGAUCUGUGUGAACUAGAAUUUUUUUUUAAAUAACUACAAUUAAACUUUAACAGAAAUGUGACGUCUCUGGUUUUCUCUGUUUCUGUCGUCGUCUGUUCGCGAGUUUGAAACCGAGCAGACGACUUUAAAUGAAUCCAAACACUUUGUUUAUUAUUAAUGAGUAAAAACUACAUUUGUGAAGAACAAAUUAUCAGGAGAAAUUUGUAUUUUUCAUAAUUUUUUAACAUCUGUGAAAUUUUUUAGGAUUUUUAUUUCAC
This is a long non-coding RNA of Sparus aurata (gilthead seabream), 1856 nucleotides long. The record is from Ensembl. Lineage: Eukaryota; Metazoa; Chordata; Actinopteri; Spariformes; Sparidae.